AUGUAUUUUCGGGGGGCUGAUGAUCAGGGAUUCAAUUGGGAAUCAAGCAAGAAGGAGGAUGGUACAACUCUUUAAGACAGUCUGUACCUUAACUAGCUACUUCCGGGAUUACACAUGUUUGGCUUCCUCCACCUUCUGAUGCGAUUUCACCUGAAGGUAAUUACCUGUCCGAAAACUCUCUCUUGAACCUUGUCAGUUGUGCAAACCACAUUUUAUUUAAAGUUGUUAAGCUCAAAGAUGAUCGCAGAACUAGCACGCAAGUCUGCUACAAGACUUUGAUCCAAAAAAAUUUAUUCCACUCUUGAAAGCUUAGUCUUUAGCCAUAACAGUAGUUGUAUGACUGUCAUAGGAGAAUUUUUUGUAUAUUGAGCAUUGAUCUCGUAUCUUUCCUUUUUCUAAGGAUACAUGCCUGGAAGGCUCUAUGAUCUCAAUGCAUCAAAAUAUUGAAGCCAAGAUGAAUUGAAGUCACUGAUAAAUGCCUUACAUGAUAGUGGGAUACAGGACUGAUUAAAGCCCCUCUCUUAUUUGCAGCGACGACACACAAUAUUCUGAUGGCAAGGGGAACCAUGACACUGGAGCUGACUACAAUGCUGCUCCUGAUACUGACCACAAAAACACAGAAGUCCUUAAAGAGCUUUCGCAUUGGAUG
RNAcentral lists this long non-coding RNA (649 nucleotides) under Prunus dulcis (almond). RNAcentral describes it as "sRNA ncRNA". The record is from RNAcentral. Lineage: Eukaryota; Viridiplantae; Streptophyta; Magnoliopsida; Rosales; Rosaceae.